UCCACGCCCUAAACGAUGCCGACUAGGUAUCGGGAGUAUCGACCCUCCCCGUACCGAAGCUAACGCGUUAAGUCGGCCGCCUGGGAACUACGGCCGCAAGGCUAAAACUCAAAGGAAUAGACGGGGGCUCACACAAGCGGUGGAGCAUGUGGUUUAAUUCGACAAUAAGCGAGGAACCUUACCCGGGUUCACCCCUAUCGAAGCUUCUAGAAACAGAGGCGUGCCUCGCAAGAGGAAUGAUAGGGUCGGUGGUGCACGGCUGUCGUCAGCUCGUGCCGUGAGGUGUAUGAUUAAGUUCAGAAACGAGCGCAACCCUUGUCUC
RNAcentral lists this ribosomal RNA (322 nucleotides) under uncultured bacterium. Its description in RNAcentral is "bacterial SSU rRNA". It matches the Rfam family "Bacterial small subunit ribosomal RNA", at positions 794 to 1111 of the family's 1533-position model. The record is from RNAcentral.